Non-coding RNA from Chlorocebus sabaeus (green monkey), 4118 nucleotides. Lineage: Eukaryota; Metazoa; Chordata; Mammalia; Primates; Cercopithecidae. The record is from RefSeq and is a predicted model, not a curated record.
ACGUGCCUGGGCGCUCCAGCUCCGUGCGCCUCUGACGCUGAGGCUAUGAUUGGCCUGGCUGAACGCCAAUCAGGGCUCGGCGCCGUGGAGGCGGGACGAACGCCGCGGGCCGAGCCUGCUUAACUCCCUGCCGGGUUAUUCUCUGCCUCUUCUAGGGUAGGCAAACGCCUCCGAGUCCCUUAGGGGGGUCCCCGCGGCGGCCUGAGAUGCACCGCGCCAGGUCGUCGCGCCCUUGCGCUGGCUGAAGUAGGAAUUGGCUCUGGAGAGUCUGCGUUGCUCCUGGUCCCAGGGCCGUGAUCCCGAUACUGCGCUUCCCGUUCCUCCAGUCGCAGCCCCCAGGCUCCGUCUUCUCCUGCGUGGCGCUGGAGAAACACCCGGAAGAGAGAGUCCCAGAAUGACUGCUGUGGCCCUGCGACCUGACUGCCACCUUCCAGGACUCUAGCCCUGGCUCCUUCUAACCUUCCCGCCCCUCAGUGCCCCAGGGAGGCUGCUGUGCCAACAAUUAUUCAUCAGCCGGAAGAAAAGGAGGUGCCAGUGUUAGGCACAGAAGAGGGUUGGACCAGAAAAGCUGGAGAGGGGCAAGAAGGGAAAGAGGGGGAAGAGGGAAGGCGGAAAAAGUGGGGAGGGGUAACAGCUCGAGCUUUUCCUCUAGGAUAGUUUGUCUUCUCUCGGUCCCGCCUCCUCUGCUUCUUGCCUCAGUUCCCCACUCCCACCCGUGCACCUCUGCGGCAGGCGUGUGAAAGAAGUGGGAGGGAGGGGCUUUUGGUCGGGAUAUCUGGUCCUCCAGACCCCACAGCCUUGGCUGAGAACUUACUUAAGCCCACUCCAACUGACUUGAUAAAUGAGAAUCUUGACCAGUCCAUUGGUAGGUAGAAACGAGGGACAUCAUCUGUCCCUGAACAGAAUAACCCGAAAUCGCAGGUCCCAUGGAUGUGGGAAUCCACAGCACUGACUGCGCUCCUAAGGCUCGCUGGAGUGCAGUCGUGCGAUCUCGGCUCACUGCAACCUCCGCCUCCCGGGUUCAAGCGGUUUUCGUGCCUCGGCCUCCCGAGAAGCUGGAUCUACAGGUGCGCACCACCACACCUGGAUAAUUUCUGUAUUUUAAGUAGAGACGGGGUUUCACCAUGUUUGCAUAGCUUGUCUCGAACUGUUGACCUCAAGUUAUCCUCCCGCCUCUGCCUCCUAAAGUGCUGGGAUUACAGGCCUGAGUCUCCUCGCCCGUCUUAUAUGUUGGAUCUUUUCCCAGACCUCCUCCUCAGAUGUGGACCGUACAGAUGAUGCUCCAUCGGUUACUCUGAUCCUGGCUUUGGGACUGCCAGAUAAAACUGGGAGAAACCCUACAUUUACUCUUACUGUAACGUAUUGGCUUGAAACUGCAGCUUCAGGAGAAGGCGAGAACAUUUUUUUCCUUCUUGCUGAGAAUUUUUUCACCAGGGUUUCAAGGCAUAUUCACCAUGAAGACACGAGGAUGAAGACCUUUAUGAUGCUCCACUUCCACUUAAUGAAUAGAACCUUCCACUAAUAUCUGAUCCAGGAAUGCUCAAUUCAUUCAGAAUAAGUAGGAAAAGAAAUGGCACAGUUCCACAUAAAUAUGUCAUAAGAAAAUAAUGUUUACAGAAAGCAGCAAGAUUUCCCUCCAGAAGUAAUGAAGCAGCCUCAGCCAUGAAGAUCAUGGAGCCAAAAGGAAGACCUUCAGCAGAAGCAGUUGCGAGCCAAAGAGGUCCAAGGGCACUGAGGAAGGAGCCAAGUGAAUGUUUUAGGCGUCGGCGUCGCUCCCGCCCUGGAGCUCUAGGCCCGCGUUUCCCCGCGGGCUGUGGGUCAAGCGCCGGCCGCUAAAGGUGCGCGAGGAGCCUCCACCCUUUCUGCGCUGGGCCUGGCGUCGGGGUCGUUGUGUCCUGACAACCACUGACGUACCCAUUUCCGAGGCAGCAGGUGCAGCCGCUUUAGCCCUGAGCCGGCUCCGCGUCUGUCUGCUGGUCUCUGCUAAUGCCGACCCUUCCCUUCGCGGACCCCACGCCAAGCAGCGACCCGGAGCCGACAGCUGGAGCGCCUGGCAGUGGCGGCCUCGACGACCUCGCAACGGCCCGUCAAGGGGAUCCUGAAGGACAAGACCUCUACGACCCCCUCUAUGGUGGCGUCGGCCGAACCGCCCCGCGGGAGUGUCCACGAGGAGCUGAGCAAAAAAUCCCAGAAGUGGGAUGAAAUGAACAUCCUGGCGACAUAUCAUCCAGCAGACGAAGACGAUGGCUUAAUGAAAGUAGAUGAACCAAGCCCUCCUUACCAUAGUAUGAUGGAUGAUGAUGAAGGUGCAUGUAGUGAUACAGAAACCACCGAAGCCAUGGCACCAGAUAUCUUGGCUAAGAAAUUGGCUGCUGCUGAAGACUUGGAGCCAAAGUAUCGGGUUCAGGAACAACAAAGCAGUGGAGAGGAGGAUAGUGACCUCUCAUCUGAAGAACGAGAAAAAAAGCGACAAUUUAAAUGAAAAGGAAGCGCCACUACAAUGAAGGACUCAAUAUCGAACUAGCUGGACAAUUUCAAAAGGCCUACAUGAUGAUGACGGAGAUGAAGAAAUGUUAGAGCCUGCAGGUGGAGAAAGCAUGAAUACGGAAGAAUCAAAUCAAGGAUCUGCUGUAAGUGACCAACAGCAAAACAAAUCACGAAGUUCAUAGAAGAGAUUUGUUCAACACUGCAAUUGUUUGUUAGAUAUGAACCCAGUUGCUAUAAUACAUUGCUUCUUGUUCUCUGCAAAUCAUGACUUAAGUACCAAAAUGCAUACCAGUUAUUAUAUAUUGCCAGUAAUUAAAUGAUAACCUUAGAGACUGAUUAGACCGAAAUGAAAAUGCCUGACAUGUGUGUAUAUAUGUGUGUGUGUGUGUAUAUAUAUAUAUAUACUUGUGCCUAAUACUUUACUACAAAUACAGUGUAAUACCAUCAGUCCGAAACUGUAUUGCUUUUGUAAAAACAUUGGUUAACUUGUAUAUUAUAUAGCUUUUUAUGCUUUAGAGGUUCAACAAUAUCUUUGGGGGGGAACUAAUUUAUUUUCAUCAUUCUAAAUGUGGUGGUAGCUCUUAUAAAGUUUGUUGAUUUUUUUAAAAUCAAAAGCCAAUUGAAUAACAGGAUAUAUAAGUUGAUAAAUCUUCAGGCUGAAUAGUAUUUGAACACUUGUCUUCAACUUGAUUUGUCUGUUUAAUUGAAAGGAUUGUAAGAGUUACUGUUGCAUUUUCUGGCCUACUACCUUUAAAAUUCUUGUUGCGUUUCUUUGUGUUUGCAAGGAAAGGACUGGACUUUUUCUCGUCAAAACUAGCUUUUUUUCUCACAAAUUAUUAGGCUAAACUUGCACUGAUGUCUGCUCUUUUUUUUUUUGUAAUGUUUUUGGUACGCUGGGCAGACUUCAGUUUUUUAAAAAAUAAAUAUUGUAAUGUAGCUAUCUCGGCAUUCCCUUUAAAUACCUGUCUUAACCUCCUGCUUUUAUUUCCUACUCCUUUCCACACAUAUACACACAAUCCUUUACCUUUUAAAGGAUCAUUAAGAUUGUCACACAUUAGGAAGUCUUUCUCUCAUGUCUUUUGCGGCAAUAUUGAAAUUCUUAUUUUGACCAUCAAUGUCUAUUAAUUCUUCUAAUACAUGAAGAAAAUAGGUUGAGUAGCAGCAGUACCCUAUAGGCAGGAAAUACAGUUUAACUGCUGGAUUUCUAUACCUCUCUGAUUUACAGCUUGCUAAUUAAAUUGCUAUUAUUAGUUUGCUUGGCUUAAUUAGACUUAAGAAAACAACUAACUGACGGUUUUUGUUUUUUCAAUUUUUUUUUUUUUUUUUUUUUUGCAUGAGGAGAGAAUUGUAUGUAACCAGUGAUAUGAUUAUUCCUGAAGGUACAGACAGAAGUAAACCUGGGAACACUGUUUAAUUUAAAAACUUCAAUCCCUGCUAUGAGGGAAUACGAUAAUGUAUACUAUGACAAAUGUACUUUAUUCUUCUAACACAGUAAAGAAUUACUUGGGAAUUUUUUCCUGAAACUAAGUGCAGGAAAGCCCUGUGUGUCUUGGUUUCGUGGUGGUUUCAUUUCUAGCCAUACAACUGAUGGAUUGUAUACAAUUUCUGUCAGUGCCAAAAUAAUCUGUUAU